AUUGAAGCUUGCUUCAAUUGCCGGCGACCGGCGCACGGGUGAGUAACGCGUAUCCAACCUGCCUCAUACUCGGGGAUAGCCUUUCGAAAGAAAGAUUAAUACCUGAUGGUAUGAUGAGAUUGCAUGAUAGCAUCAUUAAAGAUUUAUCGGUGUACGAUGGGGAUGCGUUCCAUUAGAUAGUAGGCGGGGUAACGGCCCACCUAGUCAACGAUGGAUAGGGGUUCUGAGAGGAAGGUCCCCACAUUGGAACUGAGACACGGUCCAAACUCC
RNAcentral lists this ribosomal RNA (270 nucleotides) under uncultured Bacteroides sp. Its description in RNAcentral is "partial 16S ribosomal RNA". It matches the Rfam family "Bacterial small subunit ribosomal RNA", at positions 72 to 339 of the family's 1533-position model. Lineage: Bacteria; Pseudomonadati; Bacteroidota; Bacteroidia; Bacteroidales; Bacteroidaceae. The record is from RNAcentral.